GGAAUAUAAGAAUCCGUCUCUUAACUUUUAACUAAAAAGCUAAAAACCGGUUCUUAAUUUUUUUAGUUAAAAGUUAAGAGACGGGUUCUUAUAUUCC
This 97-nucleotide microRNA precursor is filed under the name Brassica napus (rape). RNAcentral's name for it is "MIR9563 microRNA precursor family". It matches the Rfam family "MIR9563 microRNA precursor family". The record is from Rfam by way of RNAcentral. Lineage: Eukaryota; Viridiplantae; Streptophyta; Magnoliopsida; Brassicales; Brassicaceae.